AGAAGCGUGGCUUAGUGGAUAAAGCACUGACCUAGGAGUCAGAAGGACCUGGGUUCUAAUCCCAGCUCCACCA
RNAcentral lists this transfer RNA (73 nucleotides) under Ornithorhynchus anatinus (platypus). It matches the Rfam family "tRNA". From Rfam's summary of the family: Transfer RNA (tRNA) molecules are approximately 80 nucleotides in length. Their secondary structure includes four short double-helical elements and three loops (D, anti-codon, and T loops). Lineage: Eukaryota; Metazoa; Chordata; Mammalia; Monotremata; Ornithorhynchidae. The record is from Rfam by way of RNAcentral.